RNAcentral lists this unclassified non-coding RNA (219 nucleotides) under uncultured Thelephoraceae. RNAcentral describes it as "sequence contains ITS2". Lineage: Eukaryota; Fungi; Basidiomycota; Agaricomycetes; Thelephorales; Thelephoraceae. The record is from RNAcentral.
ACACCUCAACUCUCACGGUUUGCCGUGGUGAGCUUGGAUGUUGGGGGUUUUGCUGGCCUGUGGUUGGCUCCUCUCAAAUGAAUCAGCUUUCCAGUGUUUGGUGGCGCCAUGGGUGUGAUAACUAUCUACGCUCAUGACUUGUCUGCCAGGUAACCUUCCGCAACGGGGGUUUGCUGGAGCUCACAAAUGUCUCUCCUCAGUGAAGACAGCCUUUUGAAC